UACGUAGGGGGCAAGCGUUGUCCGGAUUUAUUGGGCGUAAAGCGCUCGCAGGUGGUUCAUUGCGUCGUGCGUGAAAGACCCCGGCUCAACUGGGGAGGGUCGUGCGAAACGGGUGAACUAGAGGCCAGUAGGGGGAUGCGGAAUUCCCGGUGUAGCGGUGAAAUGCGCAGAUAUCUGGAGGAACACCGGUGGCGAAGGCGGCAUCCUGGACCGAGAUUGACGCUGAUGCGCGAAAGCCAGGGGAGCAAACGGG
Molecule: ribosomal RNA, 253 nt
Filed under: uncultured bacterium
Lineage: Bacteria
Description: partial 16S ribosomal RNA
Rfam family: Bacterial small subunit ribosomal RNA
Source: RNAcentral